Molecule: ribosomal RNA, 639 nt
Filed under: uncultured fungus
Lineage: Eukaryota; Fungi
Description: eukaryotic LSU rRNA
Rfam family: 5.8S ribosomal RNA (bases 230-384)
Source: RNAcentral
CUUGGUCAUUUAGAGGAGUAAAAGUCGUAACAAGGUUUCCGUAGGUGAACCUGCGGAAGGAUCAUUAUUGAAUUACGGGCGAGGGUUGUCGCUGGCCUCUCGGGGCAUGUGCACGCCCGAGCCAUCCCCAACAAACGCCGUGGGCCUUCGGGCCCGCGUAUAUUUACUCUGAAUGUGUAUAGAAUGUAAACCAUUUGUUUGCCCUGAAAAAGCAAACGAAAAAUAGUACAACUUUCAACAACGGAUCUCUUGGCUCUCGCAUCGAUGAAGAACGCAGCGAAAUGCGAUAAGUAAUGUGAAUUGCAGAUUUUCAGUGAAUCAUCGAAUCUUUGAACGCACCUUGCGCCCCUUGGUAUUCCGAGGGGCAUGCCUGUUUGAGUGUCAUUAAAUCCUCAACCGCGCCGAUUGAUUUUCGGUGGGGCUUGGACUUUGGAGCGUGCUGGCGAAGGUCGGCUCCUCUUUAAAUGCAUCAGCGGAAGAAACCUUUGUCUUUCCCGCCUUCGGUGUGAUAAUUGUGUUGCGCCGUGGUGGAACUUCAACGAUCCGCUUACAAUGGUCUUCGGACGAAACCUCAUGUCAUCUUGACCUCAAAUCAGGUAGGACUACCCGCUGAACUUAAGCAUAUCAAUAAGCGGAGGA